Molecule: long non-coding RNA, 957 nt
Organism: Vidua chalybeata
Lineage: Eukaryota; Metazoa; Chordata; Aves; Passeriformes; Viduidae
Exons: 8
Source: RefSeq, a predicted model, not a curated record
AUGAUAUUAGACCUUCAGCAAAGUGCACAGCUGCAUCAUACAGAAGCUGAGACUCAAACUGACAGGCAAAUAAGCCAGAUCACGGAAGGGGCCUCUGUGUGGCAGCUCUGAGCUACCAAGUGUUGGACAACUAGGCAAAAAGUGCAAUGGAACAGGGCAGAAAAUAACACACUAACUUCAGGCAACUGUUGCUUAUUCAUGGACUGGAAAGAAACCAUUUCUGUAGAUGUCAGCUUCUGUUUGCUGUGAUGCUCCACUCUGAGUGAUGCCACAUUCAGCACUGAGUAGUACUGGCAGAGGAGAGUGGCUUCUCAGAAUGAGGUGUGCAGCUGCAAUUCCAGGUGUGCAGCUGCCAUUCCAUCUCACUGCAGGACUGUGUUUGCUGCUCCACAAGCUGCAGAGCAAGAGAAGCCAACUUGAGGAGCAUGCAUAUUGUGAUACCCUCAGUGGUUUCUUUUACAAUGUGUUCUGCUCCAGCCAGUGAAUUUUGUUUAACUGACCAGUGAAAGAAAAAUUAAAAUGAAAAAGGAAAAUGAAGAAGUUAAUGAUACCAGAUUUCAGCGAAGCAGGAUCAUAUUUUGUGAUAGAACAGCUAAUAGCUGGAGAACUCUGACAUGAAAGUCCCAAGCAGCCCAGCCUUAGCAGGUAGCAAGGAAAGAAUAGAAUGUGUACAGAAAGAAUACAGCUACAACUGAUGCCUGGAAACAUAAGUACAACUGGCUUUUUUUUUUUUUUUUUCCUGAGGUCCUCAAAAUCAAACUCUAUACUAUUUGUGAGAACCUGUUGUCAUCGGGGUUUUUCAGAAUUAUAAAUCAAUGGCAACUGUAAUCUAAUUCCUCAAGUCAAACUAUUUGGUUCAAGUUUGCAAAUGUGAAAUAAGCUUGUUUUCAUUAUUUCAGAUGUCAGAAACAGUUCAAAAUAAAUUAGGAUAUUGAUGAAUAUUUCUGUAUCCUUAUA